UACGGAGGGUGCGAGCGUUGUCCGGAAUUACUGGGCGUAAAGCGCGCGUAGGCGGCUUUGCAAGUCGGGUGUGAAAUCCCCAGGCUUAACCUGGGAACUGCAUUCGAGACUGCAUUGCUAGAGUAUGGGAGAGGGAAGUGGAAUUUCCGGUGUAGCGGUGAAAUGCGUAGAUAUCGGAAGGAACAUCAGUGGCGAAAGCGACUUCCUGGACCAAUACUGACGCUCAUGUGCGAAAGCGUGGGGAGCAAACAGG
This 253-nucleotide ribosomal RNA is filed under the name uncultured bacterium. RNAcentral describes it as "partial 16S ribosomal RNA". It matches the Rfam family "Bacterial small subunit ribosomal RNA", at positions 524 to 776 of the family's 1533-position model. The record is from RNAcentral.